This 481-nucleotide ribosomal RNA is filed under the name uncultured bacterium. RNAcentral describes it as "bacterial SSU rRNA". It matches the Rfam family "Bacterial small subunit ribosomal RNA", at positions 28 to 526 of the family's 1533-position model. The record is from RNAcentral.
GACGAACGCUGGCGGCGUGCUUAACACAUGCAAGUCGAACGAUGAAGCCUUUCGGGGUGGAUUAGUGGCGAACGGGUGAGUAACACGUGGGUAACCUGCCCUUGGCUUUGGGAUAAGCCCUGGAAACGGGGUCUAAUACCGGAUAUGACUGAUUCUCGCAUGGGGAUUGGUGGAAAGUUCCGGCGGCCAGGGAUGGGCCCGCGGCCUAUCAGCUUGUUGGUGGGGUGAUGGCCUACCAAGGCGACGACGGGUAGCCGGCCUGAGAGGGCGACCGGCCACACUGGGACUGAGACACGGCCCAGACUCCUACGGGAGGCAGCAGUGGGGAAUAUUGCACAAUGGGCGAAAGCCUGAUGCAGCGACGCCGCGUGAGGGAUGACGGCCUUCGGGUUGUAAACCUCUUUCGCCCGGGACGAAGCGAGAGUGACGGUACCGGGAGAAGAAGCACCGGCUAACUACGUGCCAGCCGCCGCCGUAACAC